RNAcentral lists this ribosomal RNA (461 nucleotides) under uncultured ammonia-oxidizing beta proteobacterium. Its description in RNAcentral is "bacterial SSU rRNA". It matches the Rfam family "Bacterial small subunit ribosomal RNA", at positions 202 to 645 of the family's 1533-position model. Lineage: Bacteria; Pseudomonadati; Pseudomonadota; Betaproteobacteria. The record is from RNAcentral.
AAAGCAGGGGAUCGUAAGACCUUGCGCUUUUGGAGUGGCCGAUGCCUGAUUAGCUAGUUGGUGGGGUAAGGGCCUACCAAGGCAACGAUCAGUAGUUGGUCUGAGAGGACGACCAGCCACACUGGGACUGAGACACGGCCCAGACUCCUACGGGAGGCAGCAGUGGGGAAUUUUGGACAAUGGGCGAAAGCCUGAUCCAGCAAUGCCGCGUGAGUGAAGAAGGCCUUCGGGUUGUAAAGCUCUUUCAGUCGAGAAGAAAAGGUUGCGACUAAUAAUCGCAACUUAUGACGGUAUCGACAGAAGAAGCACCGGCUAACUACGUGCCAGCAGCCGCGGUAAUACGUAGGGUGCGAGCGUUAAUCGGAAUUACUGGGCGUAAAGGGUGCGCAGGCGGCUUUGUAAGUCAGAUGUGAAAUCCCCGGGCUUAACCUGGGAAUUGCGUUUGAAACUACAAAGCUAGA